GGAAGGAUCAUUAUUGAAUGAAUAUAGAGUUUGGGUUGUAGCUGGCCUGCCAAAGGCAUGUGCACACCUUUUCUCUUUCAUCCACACACCCCAUUGUGCACUUGUGAGACGGAGGCUUGUUUUGUCCCUCUUUUAAUUAGGGGGGAUUGGGUUUCCGUCUGCCAUCAUACAAACUCAUUUAUUUAAACUGGAAUGUAAUUGAUGUUUAACGCAUCUAUAUACUAAGUUUCAACAACGGAUCUCUUGGCUCUCGCAUCGAUGAAGAACGCAGCGAAAUGCGAUAAGUAAUGUGAAUUGCAGAAUUCAGUGAAUCAUCGAAUCUUUGAACGCACCUUGCGCUCCUUGGUAUUCCUUGGAGCAUGCCUGUUUGAGUAUCAUGAAAUUCUCAAAGCAAAGUCUUUUUUUUCUUUGCUUUGGACUUGGGGGUCUGCAGAUUUUAAACAAGUCUGCUCCUCUUAAAUGCAUUAGCUGGAUCUCAGUGAACUUGGUUCCACUCGGCGUGAUAAGUUAUCACUCGCUGAGGACACCCUUGAAAUAAAAGGUGGCCAAGGUUGCAGAUGAACCGCUUCUAAUGGUCCAUUGACUUGGACAAAUAAAUUUAAUGAUCUGAUCUCAAAUCAGGUAGGACUACCCGCUGAACUUAAGCAUAUCAAUAAGCGGAGGAAAAGAAACUAACAAGGAUUCCCCUAGUAACUGCGAGUGAAGCGGGAAGAGCUCAAAUUUAAAAUCUGGCGGUGUAUUCCGUCCGAGUUGUAGUCUAGAGAAGCAUCAUCCGCGCUGGACCAUGUACAAGUCUCUUGGAACAGAGCGUCAUAGAGGGUGAGAAUCCCGUCCUUGACAUGGACUCCCAGUGCUUUGUGUUGUGCUCUCGACGAGUCGAGUUGUUUGGGAAUGCAGCUCAAAAUGGGUGGUAAAUUCCAUCUAAAGCUAAAUAUUGGCGAGAGACCGAUAGCGAACAAGUACCGUGAGGGAAAGAUGAAAAGCACUUUGGAGAGAGAGUUAAACAGUACGUGAAAUUGUUGAAAUGGAAACGCUUGAAGUCAGUCGCGUUCUCUGGGAUUCAGCCUUGCUUCUGCUUGGUGCAUUUCCUAGUCUACGGGCCAGCAUGGAUUUCGAUCGAUGAAAAAAGGCUUGGGGAAUGUGGCACCUCCGGGUGUGUUAUAGCCCCUGGUCAGACGCGUCGGUCGGGAUCGAGGACCUCAGUGCACGCUUCGGUUGUGCUUUGAUGCUGGCGUAAUGGCUUUAAACGACCCGUCUUGAAACACGGACCAAGGAGUCUAACAUGUCUGCGAGUGUUUGGGUGGAAAACCCGAGCGCGUAAUGAAAGUGAUAGUUGGGAACCUCUCACGAGGGGCACCGACGCCCGGACCAGACCUUCUGUGACGGAUCCGAGGUGGAGCAUAUAUGUUGGGACCCGAAAGAUGGUGAACUAUGCCUGCAUAGGGUGAAGCCAGAGGAAACUCUGGUGGAGGCUCGUAGCGAUUCUGACGUGCAAAUCGAUCGUCAAAUGUGGGUAUAGGGGCGAAAGACUAAUCGAACCAUUGUUGAGUGUGCUACUCGGUGGUUAAGAGGCGUCCGAAAGGAUUUUCAGCCUAGUGAGCGUUGAGGCUUGCGACACUAUCAAAUUGCGGGGACAUCCUAAAGCUUUUGCGACCAAGCACUCUGUGGAAACGCAAGUGUGGCCGAGUUAAUUGCCCUGGGUAUGGUAAAACUGCAAAAGAUGUUACAAUGGACAAUCCGCAGCCAAGUCCUAAGGGCCAUUGCAAAAAUGGUCUAUGGAUGCAGUUCACAGACUAAAUGGUAGUGGGUGUGCAAUUGAAGUUGGAUUUUUUUUUUCUGACUCUUGCAUGCUUAAGAUAUAGUCGGUCCUGCCGCGAAAGCGGACCGGUGGAUGAAGUUCAUGGUCCCUCAACUUAAUGGCCAUUGUUCAGGAGCCACCGGGUGCAGAUUUUAAUUUUAAUUUUAUUCUCUGCAUGGGGUUAAAUGCUAGUAGCUGGUUCCUGC
Molecule: unclassified non-coding RNA, 2004 nt
Filed under: uncultured fungus
Lineage: Eukaryota; Fungi
Description: sequence contains 18S rRNA gene, ITS1, 5.8S rRNA gene, ITS2, 28S rRNA gene
Rfam family: Eukaryotic large subunit ribosomal RNA (bases 608-2004)
Source: RNAcentral